Molecule: ribosomal RNA, 539 nt
Filed under: uncultured bacterium
Lineage: Bacteria
Description: bacterial SSU rRNA
Rfam family: Bacterial small subunit ribosomal RNA
Source: RNAcentral
AAGUCAUGGGACGCACUCUGACGGAGCAUGCCGCGUGAGGGAUGACUGCCUAUGGGUUGGUAACCUCUUUUUUCAGGGAGGAAUAAAUGACGUGUACCUGAAGAAUAACCGUCCGCUAACUCCGUGCCACCGCCCGCGGUAUGACGGAGGAUGCAGGUGUUAUCCGGAAUCACUGGGCGUAAAGCGUCUGUAGGUGGUUUAGUACCUCAAGUGUUAAAUCUUGACGCACGUCUUCUAAAUCGCCUUCAAAACUAUUAUACUAUAGUAUAUGAUAGGUAAAGGGAAUUUCCAGUGGAGCGGUGAAAUGCGUGUAUAUUGGAAAUAACACCAAUGGCGAAAGCACUUUACUGGGCUAUUACUAACACUCAGAGACUAAAGCUACGGUAGCAAAUGGGAUUAGAUACCCCAGUAGUCCUAGCCGUAAACAAUGGAUACUACAUGUUGAACAGAUCGACCUGUGCAGUAUUAAAGCUAACGCGUUAAGUAUCCCGCCUGGGAAGUAUGCUCGCAAGAGUGAAACUCAAAGGAAUUGACGGAAA